UUUGUCUCAGGCUCUGCUUUAUCCAGGGGUGUGUUUUGCCAAGAUGCACACAAGAGUGAGAUUGCCCAUCGGUUUAAUGAUUUGGGAGAACAACAUUUCAAAGGCCUAGUCCUGGUCACCCUUGCCCAGCAUCUUUAGAAAUGCCCAUAUGAAGAACAUGUGAAAUUAGUGAAUGAAAUAACCAAAUUUGCAAAAAUAUGUGUUGCUGAUGAGUCUGCUGCAAACUCUGACAAAUCAAUUGUCAGUACAUUCUGAUUUUGAGGAUCCCUUUGCCUCUUUUACAUAAUUCUGAGUAUUUCAAAGGAAAACAAAUACUUUCUCCCAUACCUAAGGCCCAGGAAACACUGUGGAAGAGGGGCCAGAAUGAUUGUUAGAGCCAGAGGAACAGGGAUUUUGCUAUGAGAUUGUCUCCUAGUAAUGUCACAAGCUAGACUCAAAAAGUCUCACCAACAUGACUGGCCAAAUGUGAGCUUAAGAGUGACAACACAACAGACAUGCCAGGGUGGAUGAAAGACCCCAAGGCCUAAACCUACACAAAGACUUCAGGCAAACAAGG
Peromyscus leucopus (white-footed mouse) is the source of this 556-nucleotide long non-coding RNA. RefSeq lists it as uncharacterized. Lineage: Eukaryota; Metazoa; Chordata; Mammalia; Rodentia; Cricetidae. The transcript is spliced from 3 exons. The record is from RefSeq and is a predicted model, not a curated record.